This 72-nucleotide transfer RNA is filed under the name Streptomyces avermitilis. RNAcentral's name for it is "tRNA-Trp". The record is from RNAcentral. Lineage: Bacteria; Bacillati; Actinomycetota; Actinomycetes; Kitasatosporales; Streptomycetaceae.
ACUGCGGGCGCGCCGCGGAACGUGGUCCGCUCCAGGCGGAUCCGCCGGUAGUUCAGGCCCUUCUCGCGGUCC